RNAcentral lists this small nuclear RNA (281 nucleotides) under Heterocephalus glaber (naked mole-rat). Its description in RNAcentral is "7SK RNA". It matches the Rfam family "7SK RNA". From Rfam's summary of the family: 7SK was discovered as an abundant small nuclear RNA in the mid-70s but a possible function has only recently been suggested. Lineage: Eukaryota; Metazoa; Chordata; Mammalia; Rodentia; Bathyergidae. The record is from Rfam by way of RNAcentral.
GCAAUCUGGCCACAACAUCUGUCACCCCUUUGGUCGCCAGAGUCCACUCCCCUGACCUGGCUGGCUAGGCGGGUGUCUCUUUUUCCCUCCAUGUGAGCUCCUCCAGAAGCUGCGAGCUGGGUUGAAGAGGAUGACCACCCCCGAUAGAGGAGGGCCUUUUCCUAGGUCAAGGGUAUAUGAGUAGCCACACUCCCCUGCUAGAACCUCCAAACAAGCUCUCAAGAUCCUAGACUGAAUAUUCUUAACCCCUCAGUAAUAAAGAAAAGAUAAUAUAUUUAUGU